Molecule: ribosomal RNA, 296 nt
Filed under: uncultured bacterium
Lineage: Bacteria
Description: partial 16S ribosomal RNA
Rfam family: Bacterial small subunit ribosomal RNA
Source: RNAcentral
AACGAACGCUGGCGGCAGGCCUAACACAUGCAAGUCGAACGCCGUAGCAAUACGGAGUGGCAGACGGGUGAGUAACGCGUGGGAACAUACCCUCCGGUUCGGAAUAACUCAGGGAAACUUGAGCUAAUACCGGAUACGUCCAAGGUUUUAAUCGGCCUUGGAGAAAGAUUUAUCGCUGGAGGAUUGGCCCGCGUCUGAUUAGCUUGUUGGUGAGGUAAUGGCUCACCAAGGCGACGAUCAGUAGCUGGUCUGAGAGGAUGAUCAGCCACAUUGGGACUGAGACACGGCCCAAACCU